CGCUGGCGGCACGCCUAACACAUGCAAGUCGAACGAAGUAGCAAUACUUAGUGGCAGACGGGUGAGUAACAUGUGGGUAUCUACCCUUUGGCCUGGAAUAACACGAGGAAACUUGUGCUAAUACCGGAUAAGUCUUUACGGAGAAAGCUUUAUGCACCAUUGGAUGAGCCCGCACUUGAUUAGUUUGUUGGUGGGGUAAUGGCCUACCAAGACUGUGAUCAAUAGCUGAUUUGAGAGGAUGAUCAGCCACAUUGGGACUGAGACACGGCCCAAACUCCUACGGGAGGCAGCAGUGGGGAAUCUUGCACAAUGGAGGAAACUCUGAUGCAGCGAUGCCGCGUGAGUGAAGAAGGCCCUUGGGUUGUAAAGCUCUUUCGUCGGGGAAGAAAAUGACUGUACCCGAAUAAGAAGGUCCGGCUAACUUCGUGCCAGCAGCCGCGGUAAUACGAAGGGACCUAGCGUAGUUCGGAAUUACUGGGCUUAAAGAGUUCGUAGGUGGUUGAAAAAGUUGGUGGUGAAAUCCCAGAGCUUAACUCUGGAACUGCCAUCAAAACUUUUCAGCUAGAGUUUGAUAGAGGAAAGCAGAAUUUCUAGUGUAGAGGUGAAAUUCGUAGAUAUUAGAAAGAAUACCAAUUGCGAAGGCAGCUUUCUGGAUCAUUACUGACACUGAGGAACGAAAGCAUGGGUAGCGAAGAGGAUUAGAUACCCUCGUAGUCCAUGCCGUAAACGAUGUGUGUUAGACGUUGGAAAUUUAUUUUCAGUGUCGCAGCGAAAGCGAUAAACACACCGCCUGGGGAGUACGACC
Molecule: ribosomal RNA, 805 nt
Filed under: uncultured Pelagibacteraceae bacterium
Lineage: Bacteria; Pseudomonadati; Pseudomonadota; Alphaproteobacteria; Candidatus Pelagibacterales; Candidatus Pelagibacteraceae
Description: bacterial SSU rRNA
Rfam family: Bacterial small subunit ribosomal RNA
Source: RNAcentral